CAGCAGCCGCGGGAAAACGUAGGGUGCGAGCGUUAAUCGGAAUUACUGGGCGUAAAGCGUGCGCAGGCGGUUGUGUAAGACAGGUGUGAAAUCCCCGGGCUUAACCUGGGAACUGCGCUUGUGACUGCACAGCUAGAGUAUGGCAGAGGGGGGUGAAUUCCACGUGUAGCAGUGAAAUGCGUAGAGAUGUGGAGGAACACCGAUGGCGAAGGCAGCCCCCUGGGCCAAUACUGACGCUCAUGCACGAAAGCGUGGGGAGCGAACAGGAUUAGAUACCCCCGUAGUCCCUGUCUCUUAUACA
This 301-nucleotide ribosomal RNA is filed under the name uncultured bacterium. RNAcentral's name for it is "partial 16S ribosomal RNA". It matches the Rfam family "Bacterial small subunit ribosomal RNA", at positions 509 to 808 of the family's 1533-position model. The record is from RNAcentral.